Molecule: unclassified non-coding RNA, 1194 nt
Filed under: Hevea brasiliensis (rubber tree)
Lineage: Eukaryota; Viridiplantae; Streptophyta; Magnoliopsida; Malpighiales; Euphorbiaceae
Source: RNAcentral
GGCGGUGGUGUUUGAUCAUGAUGGUGAGAUAACUUUCACUGAUAUUUUUGGUUUGCAAUUGAUUCUCUUAAUCAUUGAUCAAGCUUCAUUUCUCUCAUUUUACUUGUUACACAAUAGUCAUUUCCAGCUGUUUGACAUGCUAAUCGAGAAUCUAUUUGUGCAUGAGUGUAGUCUUUCAAAGGUCAACCUGAGACUGAAAUUUGAAUGAACAGCAAAUUAUGUGACUUGCAGUGUGUUCAGAUAUAUUGUCCUAAUCUGUUAUAGCUGCUUUUCACAUGUUUGCUUUUUUAUUUAUUUAUUUUUGCUAAGUUCUGGUGAUACAUUUACUGUUUUGAUGGAUUAUAUUUUUUUAGAGGAAAUACUGUAUGCCGCAAGCUCCAGGAAGAUUGGAGUGGUUGAGUAUUUAGGUGAAACCCUUCUGGUAGUGAAGAAUGUCCAAUUUUUUGUUCCAGUUCAUUGGCAGAUUUUUUUUUGGCUGGGAGUUUGGUGGGGGGAGGGGAGGGGAGAAGCUUCCUGUGGUAUGGUACGGUAUAGUUAGGCUACGGCGGUCAUAGUUAUGAUUGAUAUUUUUGUAAUAUCUAGUUUCUCAAAUUCCUAUUUGUAGGGGAAAAUUCUGGGUAAUUUUCAUCCACUGUCCUUGAACUUUAGGGGUUGUUUAAAUAAAGUCCUUGAAUUUCAAUUUGUAUCACAAAAAUCAUUUAACUUUAAUUUUAUAUCAGCUAAAGUCCUUCUGGUCGAAUUCCGUUUGGAAUUCUGGCCAAGUGCUGACCUGAACAUGCCAUGUUGGCUUUAACGCAAUAAAAUACAUUUUUUUUCUCUGACACGUGUAUUUUAAUAAUAAAAAAUAAUUUUCUCUCUCCAUGAUCUCUUUAUCUUUUCUUUUCAUUCAAUGUGAUAAACCAAAAUUAAUGACAAAUCAAAACCACUUGUGUUUCAAUCAAAAUUAAUAUACACAGAAAAGAAAAUCAACAUUUAGAAUAAAAAAAAUUAAAAUCAUAAGAAAUAAAAAUCAUCAUGUGUCUCAAUACUCAUGUACAAUAUCAAUAAUUUCCAUAAUAUUUCAAUCAAACCUAGAUUUAUCACAAUAACCAGAUAAGUGCAUGAGAGAGAACCCAAAUUUAAUCAACACAUUCAUCAUAAUACCCAGAUGACUGGGUGAGAGAGAACUCAGAUUCAUUUACAACACCAAGAUAC